This 776-nucleotide ribosomal RNA is filed under the name Ruegeria atlantica. Its description in RNAcentral is "bacterial SSU rRNA". It matches the Rfam family "Bacterial small subunit ribosomal RNA", at positions 61 to 884 of the family's 1533-position model. Lineage: Bacteria; Pseudomonadati; Pseudomonadota; Alphaproteobacteria; Rhodobacterales; Roseobacteraceae. The record is from RNAcentral.
GUCGAGCGCGCCUUUCGGGGUGAGCGGCGGACGGGUUAGUAACGCGUGGGAAUAUACCCUUUGGUACGGAAUAGCCUCUGGAAACGGAGAGUAAUACCGUAUGAGCCCUUCGGGGGAAAGAUUUAUCGCCAAAGGAUUAGCCCGCGUUAGAUUAGGUAGUUGGUGGGGUAAUGGCCUACCAAGCCUACGAUCUAUAGCUGGUUUUAGAGGAUGAUCAGCAACACUGGGACUGAGACACGGCCCAGACUCCUACGGGAGGCAGCAGUGGGGAAUCUUGGACAAUGGGCGCAAGCCUGAUCCAGCCAUGCCGCGUGAGUGAUGAAGGCCUUAGGGUCGUAAAGCUCUUUCGCCUGUGAAGAUAAUGACGGUAGCAGGUAAAGAAACCCCGGCUAACUCCGUGCCAGCAGCCGCGGUAAUACGGAGGGGGUUAGCGUUGUUCGGAAUUACUGGGCGUAAAGCGCACGUAGGCGGACUGGAAAGUUGGGGGUGAAAUCCCAGGGCUCAACCCUGGAACUGCCUCCAAAACUAUCAGUCUAGAGUUCGAGAGAGGUGAGUGGAAUUCCGAGUGUAGAGGUGAAAUUCGUAGAUAUUCGGAGGAACACCAGUGGCGAAGGCGGCUCACUGGCUCGAUACUGACGCUGAGGUGCGAAAGUGUGGGGAGCAAACAGGAUUAGAUACCCUGGUAGUCCACACCGUAAACGAUGAAUGCCAGUCGUCGGGUAGCAUGCUAUUCGGUGACACACCUAACGGAUUAAGCAUUCCGCCUGGGGAGUACG